GAAGUGCGAUAAGUAAUGUGAAUUGCAGAAUUCGUGAAUCAUCGAAUCUUUGAACGCAAAUUGCACUUUUUGGUAUCCCGAAAAGUAUGCCUGUUUAAGGGUCAGUAUAAUAAAAAUCGGUAUGUUGCUUUUUUUUGUGACGUUCUGGAGUUUGGGUUAUCUUGAACAAAAUUUUAGUUUAAGAGACUUAAAAUUAACAACCAUCUUUUUGCGCAUUUUUUAGAUGUAUAUAAAUUUUUUUUAUUUCGUCUAUUAUCAUGCCAAAAUUUUAUUAGAUGCGACCAUAUCGAGUAGUUUCGUGCUUAUAAAUUUAUCAUAAUUUGACCUCAAAUCAGGUAAGAAUACCCGCUGAACUUAA
This 358-nucleotide unclassified non-coding RNA is filed under the name uncultured Glomeraceae. RNAcentral describes it as "sequence contains ITS1". The stretch from base 1 to 104 matches the Rfam family "5.8S ribosomal RNA", at positions 50 to 154 of the family's 154-position model. Lineage: Eukaryota; Fungi; Glomeromycota; Glomeromycetes; Glomerales; Glomeraceae. The record is from RNAcentral.